AAAUUGAAGAGUUUGAUCAUGGCUCAGAUUGAACGCUGGCGGCAGGCCUAACACAUGCAAGUCGAACGGUAGCACAGAGAGCUUGCUCUCGGGUGACGAGUGGCGGACGGGUGAGUAAUGUCUGGGAAACUGCCUGAUGGAGGGGGAUAACUACUGGAAACGGUAGCUAAUACCGCAUAACGUCGCAAGACCAAAGAGGGGGACCUUCGGGCCUCUUGCCAUCAGAUGUGCCCAGAUGGGAUUAGCUAGUAGGUGGGGUAACGGCUCACCUAGGCGACGAUCCCUAGCUGGUCUGAGAGGAUGACCAGCCACACUGGAACUGAGACACGGUCCAGACUCCUACGGGAGGCAGCAGUGGGGAAUAUUGCACAAUGGGCGCAAGCCUGAUGCAGCCAUGCCGCGUGUAUGAAGAAGGCCUUCGGGUUGUAAAGUACUUUCAGCGGGGAGGAAGGUGUUGCGGUUAAUAACCGCAGCAAUUGACGUUACCCGCAGAAGAAGCACCGGCUAACUCCGUGCCAGCAGCCGCGGUAAUACGGAGGGUGCAAGCGUUAAUCGGAAUUACUGGGCGUAAAGCGCACGCAGGCGGUCUGUCAAGUCGGAUGUGAAAUCCCCGGGCUCAACCUGGGAACUGCAUUCGAAACUGGCAGGCUAGAGUCUUGUAGAGGGGGGUAGAAUUCCAGGUGUAGCGGUGAAAUGCGUAGAGAUCUGGAGGAAUACCGGUGGCGAAGGCGGCCCCCUGGACAAAGACUGACGCUCAGGUGCGAAAGCGUGGGGAGCAAACAGGAUUAGAUACCCUGGUAGUCCACGCCGUAAACGAUGUCGACUUGGAGGUUGUGCCCUUGAGGCGUGGCUUCCGGAGCUAACGCGUUAAGUCGACCGCCUGGGGAGUACGGCCGCAAGGUUAAAACUCAAAUGAAUUGACGGGGGCCCGCACAAGCGGUGGAGCAUGUGGUUUAAUUCGAUGCAACGCGAAGAACCUUACCUACUCUUGACAUCCAGAGAACUUUCCAGAGAUGGAUUGGUGCCUUCGGGAACUCUGAGACAGGUGCUGCAUGGCUGUCGUCAGCUCGUGUUGUGAAAUGUUGGGUUAAGUCCGCAACGAGCGCAACCCUUAUCCUUUGUUGCCAGCGGUCCGGCCGGGAACUCAAAGGAGACUGCCAGUGAUAAACUGGAGGAAGGUGGGGAUGACGUCAAGUCAUCAUGGCCCUUACGAGUAGGGCUACACACGUGCUACAAUGGCGCAUACAAAGAGAAGCGAACUCGCGAGAGCAAGCGGACCUCAUAAAGUGCGUCGUAGUCCGGAUUGGAGUCUGCAACUCGACUCCAUGAAGUCGGAAUCGCUAGUAAUCGUAGAUCAGAAUGCUACGGUGAAUACGUUCCCGGGCCUUGUACACACCGCCCGUCACACCAUGGGAGUGGGUUGCAAAAGAAGUAGGUAGCUUAACCUUCGGGAGGGCGCUUACCACUUUGUGAUUCAUGACUGGGGUGAAGUCGUAACAAGGUAACCGUAGGGGAACCUGCGGUUGGAUCACCUCCUUACCUUAAAGAA
Molecule: ribosomal RNA, 1549 nt
Filed under: Enterobacter ludwigii
Lineage: Bacteria; Pseudomonadati; Pseudomonadota; Gammaproteobacteria; Enterobacterales; Enterobacteriaceae
Description: bacterial SSU rRNA
Rfam family: Bacterial small subunit ribosomal RNA
Source: RNAcentral